GUAAACGAUGUCUACUUGGAGGUUUGUGGCCUUGAGCCGUGGCUUUCGGAGCUAACGCGUUAAGUAGACCGCCUGGGGAGUACGGUCGCAAGAUUAAAACUCAAAUGAAUUGACGGGGGCCCGCACAAGCGGUGGAGCAUGUGGUUUAAUUCGAUGCAACGCGAAGAACCUUACCUACUCUUGACAUCUACAGAAUCCUGCGGAGACGCGGGAGUGCCUUCGGGAACUGUAAGACAGGUGCUGCAUGGCUGUCGUCAGCUCGUGUUGUGAAAUGUUGGGUUAAGUCCCGCAACGAGCGCAACCCUUAUCCUUGUUUGCCAGCGAGUAAUGUCGGGAACUCCAGGGAGACUGCCGGUGAUAAACCGGAGGAAGGUGGGGACGACGUCAAGUCAUCAUGGCCCUUACGAGUAGGGCUACACACGUGCUACAAUGGCGCAUACAGAGGGCAGCAAGCUAGCGAUAGUGAGCGAAUCCCAAAAAGUGCGUCGUAGUCCGGAUUGGAGUCUGCAACUCGACUCCA
RNAcentral lists this ribosomal RNA (520 nucleotides) under Vibrio sp. RNAcentral's name for it is "bacterial SSU rRNA". It matches the Rfam family "Bacterial small subunit ribosomal RNA", at positions 802 to 1320 of the family's 1533-position model. The record is from RNAcentral. Lineage: Bacteria; Pseudomonadati; Pseudomonadota; Gammaproteobacteria; Vibrionales; Vibrionaceae.